CUCAGUAAUUCUCCUCCCCUCAGUUUCAGGCUAGAUGGGUCACAGUGUUCAUUCAUUACAGUUGAUAUUGAGUAGGAAGAUGACAAGUACGCACGUACAAACUGUUCUUUUGUGUCAAACUCAUUUUAAACAAGAAGGAAGGUAAGGUGUUUUCUAGGGAAACUUACCUACCUUGGCAAAAGGAUAGCUGUUUCUGGUCAUAAUCAUCACAGACAGAUAUUGGUGGUUUAGAAGAAGCAUGUCCUGCCCCUAAAUCAAGCACUUCAUGUCCCUCAGUUAUUCCCUUGCAUUUUUGUUCAGCUGUUGAAAGGAUAACUGUGUGGAAUUCCUCAAAAUAAUCUCUUGUCUGUUUUUCAGGAGUCUCUGUUUCCUGGUCCCUUAUUUUCCAGGCUCCUGAUAUCUGAAAAGUUUCCAUGCUUGUCUACCUCUUCUCAUCUUGCUCUAUACAAGGAUCUCACUGAGUUGCUGAGGCUGGCUUUGAACUUGUGAUCUUCCUGCCUCAGCCUCCUGAGUCCCUGGGAUUAUAGGUGUGCAUCACUGCCUGGUGCAGCAUGGGCUUUAAAGGUAAAUCUCACUGUCUUGAAAUUGUCCUUAAGCCAUGUGGAUCCUUGACUAGCUUGGUGCCUUCAGACAGCCUUCCUCCUAGGAUAUUUCAGGUGAUGAGACUCUUUCCAGUUUCAAAUGGCCUCUAGAGAAAGAAAUUUCACUAACCUGUUUUGGUGUUUAGUCCUGUCUUCUGGAGGUCCCUACGGGAGGUAGCAGAUUCAAAACUGGCAUGAGUCAGAUCUGGGCACAGAUCUCAGCUUCAGAUGGCACAAUCUCUUUACAUUUUAUGGGGCAAAUACUUAGCACAUGUCUCUCUUUUGUAACAAAUCACAUGGUGAGAAUGAAGGAAUGGUUUAAAAUUCACUCAGUAAUAUUUCUGAGUCAUCCCUAAGGGCAGGGCAUGGUGCUAGGCACUGGGAGAAAGGGAGCAGGAGCAGGGUAGAGAGGAAGGAGACAUGAUUCUUUCCUUGUCAGGACUCCUGAUCUAAUUGAGAAGGUGGCUGAAUCACCACAGUGGUGGCAUUUCUUUUCAGUAGGCUGCAAUUCCAGGUGAUCACUAGAAGAGUGGGUCCAAAUUGUGUAACCUCCAAACCAGGGAUCAUCACAUACUACGAGAGAAUUACUGGCCCCAAUUUCUCUCCCCUCCUGGCAUCCAUGGUCUCCAUGUAGUGGGAAUGUCCUUUCCUGUCCUCUGGCUUUGGGCUUGCUUUGACCCUUCAAAUAAAGUACAAAAGGCCUGCUGAG
This is a non-coding RNA of Marmota flaviventris (yellow-bellied marmot), 1290 nucleotides long. The record is from RefSeq and is a predicted model, not a curated record. NCBI's taxonomy places the organism in Eukaryota, Metazoa, Chordata, Mammalia, Rodentia, Sciuridae.